GACGAACGCUGGCGGCGUGCUUAACACAUGCAAGUCGAACGGUGAACCAGAGCUUGCUCUGGGGAUCAGUGGCGAACGGGUGAGUAACACGUGGGCAACCUGCCCCAGACUCUGGGAUAACCUCGGGAAACCGAUGCUAAUACCGGAUACGACCACUUCGGACAUCCGACGGUGGUGGAAAGUUUUUCGGUCUGGGAUGGGCCCGCGGCCUAUCAGCUAGUUGGUGGGGUAAUGGCCUACCAAGGCGACGACGGGUAGCCGGCCUGAGAGGGCGACCGGCCACACUGGAACUGAGACACGGUCCAGACUCCUACGGGAGGCAGCAGUGGGGAAUAUUGCACAAUGGGCGAAAGCCUGAUGCAGCGACGCCGCGUGAGGGACGACGGCCUUCGGUUGGUAAACCUCUUUCUAGCAGGGACGAAGCGAAAGU
This 430-nucleotide ribosomal RNA is filed under the name uncultured bacterium. Its description in RNAcentral is "bacterial SSU rRNA". It matches the Rfam family "Bacterial small subunit ribosomal RNA", at positions 28 to 457 of the family's 1533-position model. The record is from RNAcentral.